RNAcentral lists this transfer RNA (73 nucleotides) under Canis lupus familiaris (dog). It matches the Rfam family "tRNA". Rfam says of the family: Transfer RNA (tRNA) molecules are approximately 80 nucleotides in length. RNAcentral also lists the same sequence under 1 other name. The record is from Rfam by way of RNAcentral. Lineage: Eukaryota; Metazoa; Chordata; Mammalia; Carnivora; Canidae.
GCCUGACUGGCUCAGUCAGUAGAGCAUGUGACUCUGGAUCUUGUGGUUGUGAGUUUGAGGCCCAUGUUGGGUA